This is a long non-coding RNA of Neopelma chrysocephalum (saffron-crested tyrant-manakin), 3729 nucleotides long. RefSeq lists it as uncharacterized. The record is from RefSeq and is a predicted model, not a curated record. The transcript is spliced from 4 exons. Lineage: Eukaryota; Metazoa; Chordata; Aves; Passeriformes; Pipridae.
UUGUUUCAGGAACAGUUGUGUUUUAGACUUACUGUGCAAAUCCUGCCGUGUCUUCGUGGCUGGGGGUGAUCCCAACCUGCAGCACUGUGGCCAUGUGUGCCAUCAACCAAUCAAUCAAUCAAUCAGUGGGCUGUAAUCCUGAAAGUACUGUUUAUUUUCCAGAAAAAUGACUGACUAAACACUGUUCAUUUGAUUGUAGAGCUGUGCAAACGCUGGUUAAAUUCACCCACGGGACGCGGGGCAGCAGCGAGCGAUGUGAUGAAGUCCUGGCAGAGCAACCUGGAGCCAAAGCCAGGUGGGAAGACUCAUUCCUUUGCUGGAUUUGGAUCCCUGCAGAACAGCCUGUGUACUGAAUGAUACAGAUUUGCAGGGUCUUCUGCAGCAAAGAUGUGAACUGUGCCGUGGUCGCUGGAGACGCAGAUGAGGGAAGCAUCCUGAUUGAAGUUAAUACUGCAGAGAACACAGAACACUGCAGGAUCCCUCCUGGGACAGACCCACAGCCCCUGGCACACACAGUUCUGCUGCUGCAGUUGCCCACAGCAGCUGCCAGCCCGCUCUGGGGUGGGAACAGCUCCUCUCUGUAGGAGUUGGGGCUCCCCCAGUCCAGGGCUCCUUUGGGAUGAACAGCCCAGAUUCCCCAAUCCAGGGCUGCCUUGGGAUGAACAGCCUGCACUCAGAACAGGGUCUGGAGUGGCAGGAGCAGCAGGACUCCCUGACAUGGACACCACAGGUGUGGGCCACUCUGACACUCCUGGAAGAAAAGGAGAUCUGCUCCAAGAGUGGGCAAAACCUGUAACAUUCCUACCCCAGAUGGGGCUUGGUCGAGGAGGGGGAGUUUCCCUGCUCCUGGCAGAGUCACACCUCUGUCCUGGGCACUCCCCCCACAGCAGGAUGUGGUGCUGAAGCCCCACCCUGCCCCAAGCUCUCCAGUCCCUGGGCAGUGUUCAAGUGCAUCGGGGCCCUCCCAGUGUCGGUGUCAGUUCAGCAUCCCCAGCUCCCACCCGUGCUGGGCACGGCCUGGCACCACACACGGUUCUGUCCCAGCCCCUGUGCCCUGUGCCAGGCUCCACACACCUCCCACCUCCCUCCCCUCCCCAGCAGUGAGCCCAGAGCAGCCCUGGGCCCUGUGAGGGCUCUGUGUGCCCAGGCAGCACAUCUGUGCUCAGCACAGCACCUGAACAUCCCAGUGUAUUGGACAUCCCAGUGUAUUGCACAUACCAGUACAUUGGACAUACCAGUAUAUAUUGGCUGCCUGUGAUCCUCGACGUAGCUCCUGGAUUAAAUGCCCUGAUGAAGUAUCAAAUAUCCUUAUAAGGGUCCCCUUGAAAAGGAAUCAAGCCUUGUAUUAGGAAAGGCAGAAGAUUCUCUUUACAUCUGUGAAUGCAGCCUAAAACUCUGUCUGACCAGUGUGUCCCUGCACACACCUCGGGGGGGUUUUCUUCUUGCUAGAUUUGAGAACCUGUUUUAAUUUUGGGGAAGAACGUUGAUUGCCCCCACACCAGCCCCACAGUGUGUCAGUGCUGUGCUGUACAACCUUGUCACUUGGCUCCUCAACUCAAGCUUCUUUCAGCUCUGUUCUAAAGCACCAGCACAGCCCUGGCCCUGGUUGGCAGACCCUGGAGUGUGCCCAGGCUCUGGAGUCACUUCUGCCUUGCUCCCUCAGUCAGUGCUGCCAUUUUCAGUGCUACCCUGCAAUUCUUUCCCACAAAGCAUAAUCAGGCUGUGGCUGACUUGUCUUUGAAUUAAUUCAGAGCUGUCCAUCAUCACCUGCAGUCCUGUUACACGCCUGGUUAACAGGUGCAGCUCUCCAGUCACACACCAGGAGGUAACAGAACCCAGCAGAGAAAGAUUUGGUAAACUCAGCUUAGUUUUGAUUUAAGAGACAGGCUUAGGAUGUUUGCUGACUGUGCUCAGACUCCCUAGUUUGGUUGGAAAAUAAAAGCUGUUUGAACUUUUUCUCUGUACAAAACAAGGAACAUCCUGAUACAAAUGCAGCAGAUAAUGAGUCUACUUAGCAAUGGAGUUGGCAGCUUUAAGAACUCUGUUUAGAAGACAUGCAGCCAUUAAGCUUAGUUAGGGGAGACUGUGGCUGCAUUUUCUUUUUUUAAGCUGUUUGAGUGACAGGCUGGGCAGUAGAAACUGUUCAAAGGAGAGACUUGUUGGAUUCAUUUGGCUCGUCCUUGAGAAACUCCUUUCAUUUGAGUGGAAGAAGGCAGCGAGUGCUCCUCUUGCCUCAGGGAGAUGGGUCCAUCUGCCUGACAUUCCUUGGGGAGAUGAAGGGCCCUGGCAGCCCUCCCAGGGGUUCCCAGGGAGAGGGCAGGUCUGUCACCAUUUGAGCUGCACCCUAACCUGAGGUUUUUGUCAGUGUGUUGUCUCUUUAGUCCCACAGGGGUGCACACACCACUUCAGAAGGAGGGGAGCAGCCACCCCCUCCUGCUCUGCACCAGGGGCCAAGCCCUGGCAGAACAAAUCCCUCUGGCAGGACAGACCUAUCUGCAAGCAUUUCUUUAGCCAGUGGGUGUGAAGUGAGUUUAAGCAGAAAAUAAUAAAGGUGAAAGAAUACAAAUAAGAUUCUCCUCCUGCUUUUUAAAAAAAUUAACAGUAUCUGUAGAAGAACACAUGAAAGCUGUGAGCUGCUUGGGCCAGGCUUCUGUCACUGAAGAGUCACUGCUCCAGUCAGCUAAAACAUAAGCACUACCUCAGGCACAGCCCUUGGCUGUUGGUGUCUGGGGAUCCCAGAGGAGCAGUGAAGAUAAAGGGAAUGCACAUUCCAGUGACAAAUUUCCCCGGUAGGUAUUUCUCUGUCUUUCCUACAAAGGAUGUGACUUCCUAUUUGUGACACUGGAACACACAGUAGGUCAGAGGCAGGGACAUCACUCUUACUUUUUCUGAUGCUGUUGCAAUUCUUGUUCCCUGCAGGUUUAAAGCAAUACAGCUCAAGACUCCUUCGUGGGCCGGGAUGUCCACGGGAGGCUUCUCCGUGUUGGCCAGAUCCACGAUCUGCACGUGCCCAGUGUGUGUCCCAGGAAAUGCAAGAAGAGAAUUAUUACUAUUUGGACAAAGGACACAGAGACCUGAAAGACACACAAAAAAAAAAAAAAGAGAAUAACUGGAUUAUUUCCAUAAACCAAUGUUUUCAAAUAAUUAUGCACGUGCCUCUUCAGUGGAAUCCAUCGAACUACCAAUCUCCUGUCCUGCCCUUCCCCUGCUAAGGGAAUGCAGGCACUGGUACCAAGAAAUGCCAGUGUGAAGUCAGAGCAAUGACAAGUCACCAAGGAGCAGCUGCUGCCACUGGCAGCAGCCUGACAGCAGAGUUAUUGCCCCAACCUGCAGCUGUGCUCGUGCCAGCGAGGCCACAGUGAGUUUUGUUCCUCAAAAUCCACAGAAAAAAGAAGAGUUAAAUUAAUGCCCCGCCUGGAAGAUGCCAUAAGCUGAAGGCAGUACCUUGGCCCAGGGAAGCCCACAGGAUUCAGGACCUGAGGUCCAGCAGUGGCAGCAGUGGAGCCCAGGGAAACUAUGACAGCUGGCACAGCUCCUGCCAUGGUGGUUUUCCUUGGCACAACAAAUGUUGUCCAAAGCCACAAGAGAGAGCACAGGGCCCUACCAACAUUGGGAGGUCCUACAGAGAAGCCUUCCAGCCCACUGGAGAAGAGCAAAUGCAUCAGCCACGUGUUUCAACUCCAGAACAAACCCACCCUUCAGUUUUCAAACCAGCUUUUGGCUGCCACA